AAAAGUGCCCCUUAGUCGUUUGAAG
This 25-nucleotide non-coding RNA is filed under the name Cricetulus griseus (Chinese hamster). Lineage: Eukaryota; Metazoa; Chordata; Mammalia; Rodentia; Cricetidae. The record is from RNAcentral.